This is a long non-coding RNA of Cervus elaphus (red deer), 1463 nucleotides long. RefSeq lists it as uncharacterized. NCBI's taxonomy places the organism in Eukaryota, Metazoa, Chordata, Mammalia, Artiodactyla, Cervidae. The record is from RefSeq and is a predicted model, not a curated record. The transcript has 3 exons.
CCAAUUAGAACACGAACAGAGGAACCCGGCAGCCAAUGGACGGCGCCUCCCGGGGCGGGAGCAGAGAGACAAGGAAAUGCUGUCACCGCGGUUAACACGCACGUGGAGGUUUGUUAAAGGCCAUUAGCCAUGCCAGGCAGAAUACAUCUUCCUGCUCCCCUUCUAACUCAGGCAUCCCAUAGGAGGCAGAGAUGAUCAGGAGAACCCGAUUUUAAGCCCUGCCUCCAUCAGUCUCAAGACCCAGGACCUUGGGGAAGAGAGGGAGGCACCUGAAGGCUGCAGCACCUGAGCAGUAUUGCCUCAGGUCUUCACCAUCAAGGUAGGUCUGAUAAGGGAGGCUCACACAUGCUAUAACAAAUUACACUGAUUCAUAGAAAGCCACUUGGCAGUGUGCAAUAUACCAGAAGGGAGGAGGCACUUGAGGGCAGGCCUCAGAUUCCCUCCCCGGGGUGCUUCUCCCCUGCACAACUCCCUACUGUCAUCUCUCACCCUGAUGCCCUGCUUCUCUCUACAGACAGCUGGAUUAUAAAUUCCUCCGUGGCAGGAGCUGGUUUUUUAUAUUCAAAAAGAAAUCCUUAUACAAUUUUAAGUGUAGCCCCUGCCACACAUAACACACAGUGAGCCAGGGUGGAAUAAGGGAAAAAAAAAUGUGGGUCUGAAAUCUGAGUUGAAUCCUGGCUCUUUGGGUUGAAUCCAGUUAUUUCUGCCCUAUUAGAUCUGGAUAUUAAUAAUUUCCCUGAGUUUCAGGUUCUCCACCUGCAACAUGGGCCUAAUCUCUGGCUUUUACUAAAUUUACACAAAGUAUAAAUGCUGCCCUGCAGAGCCACAUAAAUUUGAAUAUUACAGCCCCCUAAUAAAUGUCAAAAGUAAGUUCCUGUUUAGGUCAGCAUCACAGAUGGAUCUAUCCUAAAUGUUCCUGCUAUAAAGCUAGGGAGGGGUGCCUCUUCUGAACUUUUGUCAUUAACAAUGAUUAGCAUUUUUCUCAUUAGUUUUCUUACUUUUUAUCAAAUUCUAUGGUUCUGACUAGAAUUUUUUCAUUCUUACUAUCAUUCUGAGUACAUAGUUCUAGAAUAAAAAAAAUAAAAUUUUUGCAGCAUGUGGGAUCUUAGUUCCCCUACCAGGCGUUAGACCUGUGCCCCCCUGCAACGGAAACAGAGUCCUAACCACUGGAUUGCCGGGGGAAGUCCCUGAACUUUACCUAUCUGCCACCUACUCAUCCCCCUACCAAAAGACUCCCCUAAAGGAAGUUUUCAAAAUAUAGGUAUAUAUGCAUGUUGUACCUGAUUUCUAAAGACAAGCAGUAUGUGGCCCUACGAUCUGGCAGAAAUGGGCCCUUACUACCCAUCCCAAACGAUCCUGACUCCCAACUCUGAGGUCAGAUGGGAAGAUGCAUCAGCAUCACCUAGGCAGGCGAGCCAAGUGGAACGGAGCAUCAGCCGUUUCAAGCCGAGGAGAGGGGAGUG